This 439-nucleotide ribosomal RNA is filed under the name uncultured bacterium. RNAcentral's name for it is "partial 16S ribosomal RNA". It matches the Rfam family "Bacterial small subunit ribosomal RNA", at positions 339 to 795 of the family's 1533-position model. The record is from RNAcentral.
CUACGGGGCGCUCCAGUGAGGAAUAUUGCACAAUGGGGGGAACCCUGAUGCAGCAACGCCGCGUGGAGGAUGAUGCAUUUCGGUGUGUAAACUCCUUUUAUAUGUCAAGAAAAUGACGGUAGCAUAUGAAUAAGCACCGGCUAACUCCGUGCCAGCAGCCGCGGUAAUACUGAGGGUGCAAGCGUUACUCGGAAUCACUGGGCGUAAAGGACGCGUAGGCGGGUUGGAAAGUCAGGUGUGAAAUCCUACAGCUUAACUGUAGAACUGCACUUGAAACUUCUAAUCUAGAGUAUGGGAGGGGGAGAUGGAAUUAGUGGUGUAGGGGUAAAAUCCGUAGAUAUCACUAGGAAUACCUAAAGCGAAGGCGAUCUCCUGGAACAUUACUGACGCUAAGGCGUGAAAGCGUGGGGAGCAAACAGGAUUAGAUACCCUCGUAGUC